Molecule: small RNA, 2266 nt
Filed under: Histoplasma capsulatum
Lineage: Eukaryota; Fungi; Ascomycota; Eurotiomycetes; Onygenales; Ajellomycetaceae
Also listed under: 1 other name
Description: hypothetical RNA
Source: RNAcentral
CUCUCUCUUUUCAACUUGCUAAGGCCGCAUCCGUUGGUUGGUCCCACAUAAAAUUCAUCAGAUACUACGAAAGCUCGUAUAUAUAGAAGUCGUGAUUGGGUUUUUCUUCUUAUCUCCGUGACUCUGUCGAUCGUUUUUCUUUUCUUUCGAUUCAUCUAUAUCAUCUACCAAUCUUUCUCUCUGUUCGAAUUAUCUUUCUGGGCUAAGGAUCCCCCAAUAAAUCGAAGCUAGCUGAGUGAGUGGGUGAGUUAGUGAGUGCUCCCCCGAGCCCAUAAAGAAGUUAUUUCCGAGCCCCAAAUUAUUGUCAAUAUCUCCCUCCAAAUCUGGAAUCUGGAAUACAACCUGGAUCGAGGGGUGGGAUGAUACGAGGUCACAUCCAUUCCGCGCUGUCUAUGGAAAGAAGAAAGGGAGUAAAAGCUCGACCUUUGUAACAAGGUAAGUUUCUUCUUCUUUUUUUUUUUUUUUAAAAAAAGUAAAUUAUACAAUCAAUUACAGUCGGUGAAAUGAUGACAGUAUAUAAAAACGGGAACCUGUUUAUCCGUAACCAACCCGUACCCAUCCCAUAAAAUGAGACACAGGACUCCAUCAGGAAAAAGACAAAGCCUUCCAAAAACCGACGCCCAAAUAAAUUUAGACCCCACAUUCCCAGAAAAGAGAAAACAAAAGAAAAAAGGGAAAGUAAAAUCACCCCAAGAACCAGACAGAAGGUACAAAAGGAUCGCUCGCUGAAUCGCGGGACAAAAUCAGCUAUGGUCGAGUCAAAAUAUGUGAGCAGCGCCUUUGAAGAUUCGGAAAACCGUAUAGACAGGAAGACAAUGCAUUCACGAUUAAUCGCCGAAACUAAACACCUUCCUGAUGAGAAGAAGUUGACUCUGGCCGGGAACCAAGCCACCCGCCUCGCUGAUACGCACUUGAUGAUCGUGUCUCCUUGAGGGGCACGCGUGGCAUUGACUGCUGCCGUGUGGCUACGGAAAAGGUGCUCAUAUUGGAUCCACGACGUCUCAACCGUCUGUUGGCGUCCAUUGAUUCCUUCCGGUUGAGGGAUUCGGAUGGUAGCAGAAUAGCACGAUCGAGUUCGUAUGGCAAACCACGAUGGCGGCCACGGAUUUCCAUGGCGAUGAUAAUGAGUUUCGAUAAGGGCCUGAAGUGCCCGCAGAGCGCGGUGUUGGAGUUCGGGAACCCAAGUGACAGGCCCACGGUUCCGUAGGCGGAGACAAUUUCGAACAUGACCGCGAACAUGGAGAAAGAAUUUUCGCCCUUUUGGUCAAGCCUGUUGACUUCGAUGAUGGAGAUGAGGAACAACCCAAGGAAAAUAUACCAUAAAUCGAAGCUUAGUUGUUUUCGUAGAUGGGCCCCGAUAUAACUGACAUGCUUCGAGCCCAGCGUUUCAUCUUCAUCGUCAUCAGGGUAGGAAUAUAUCCCCAAACUGCCCUCCUCGUAAACGUUUGUCCGACGGACCGAAAUGGCAACAGGGAACACGGAAAUAUACAUCAUAAUCAAAAAGAAUACCUGAACAGCAGGAUGAAUAUUUGCCAGAUUGACGACCGCUAAACCAGCCGUCCGCGUCGAUGCUGCUUGGAAAAAACCAUCCACAAAGCGUAUCCCAAUCGGAAUCCUAUUGAUUUCCGGGUUAUUCAACUAAUAGAGCAAGUUAGCAGGUGGCUAGCAGGUGGCAAGGAAAGACGCGCUCAUGGACAAGGGCACCUACAUCUAAAAUAAUGAAGAAGAUCAGUUGUAGACCAUUCAGAACAACAAGAACUCCAAAUAGCCACCACGUAGCCGCGCCAGGAAACAUAAGGGUAAAACAUCUUCGUGGGUGGUCUAGCAAGAACCGCAAUUCUUCCCACGCAGGGCUGCCGAAGGGAACGAGGUGAGAAAGCAUCCAGAUCGUAAAUCGCAGCAUGCAAGGAAAUGCGGUAUUUCCAACGAGAAUAAGGAAACUCAGCAAAAGAAGUGGAAAUAUUGCAUCGUAGAACGACAUCAUCGAGUCAGGGGUGAGAGCGAAUCCUUGAUCGUUGAAGGCGGAAGCAGAGGUGAAAACAGCCCACCACGGACGGCCUAACCCUGCUUCUUUGACAAUGUUACCGAAUCUUUCUGUUUUCAGAAUCCAUGGCACCAAAGAUACAAUGCCUAGGAGAUGGAAGAAGAAGAAAUAGCCAAUCAGCACCACCACUAGUAAUUUCAAGGCUCUGUAUUCAAUACCCCCUAGCUCGUUCCUCUGAGCCUCUGUAAGGUCGACAAACGCAGAAUUUCGGCCGAUUGUCGG